This 404-nucleotide ribosomal RNA is filed under the name uncultured bacterium. Its description in RNAcentral is "bacterial SSU rRNA". It matches the Rfam family "Bacterial small subunit ribosomal RNA", at positions 355 to 774 of the family's 1533-position model. The record is from RNAcentral.
CAAGGAAUCUUCCGCAAUGGGCGAAAGCCUGACGGAGCAACGCCGCGUGUGGGAUGACGCCUUUCGGGGUGUAAACCACUUUUCUCAGGGAAGAAGCACUGACGGUACCUGAGGAAGAAGGACCGGCUAACUACGUGCCAGCAGCCGCGGUAAUACGUAGGGUCCGAGCGUUGUCCGGAGUUACUGGGCGUAAAGCGCGCGCAGGCGGCGGUGUAAGCAUGGCGUGAAAGCCCCAGGCUCAACCUGGGAGGGUCGUCGUGGACUGCACCGCUUGAGGGCGGUAGGGGCUGGUGGAAUGCCUGGUGUAGUGGUGAAAUGCGUAGAGAUCAGGCGGAACACCCGUGGCGAAGGCGGCCAGCUGGGCCGUCCCUGACGCUGAGGCGCGAAGGCGUGGGGAGCGAACG